UCCCCAGUAGCUCAGUGGUAGAGCGGCCGGCUGUUAACCGUGUGUUGUCGUGGGUUCGAAUCCUAUCUGGGGAG
RNAcentral lists this transfer RNA (74 nucleotides) under Cymatenemion raddeanum. Its description in RNAcentral is "Enemion raddeanum tRNA-Asn". It matches the Rfam family "tRNA". From Rfam's summary of the family: Transfer RNA (tRNA) molecules are approximately 80 nucleotides in length. Lineage: Eukaryota; Viridiplantae; Streptophyta; Magnoliopsida; Ranunculales; Ranunculaceae. RNAcentral also lists the same sequence under 1 other name. The record is from RNAcentral.